This 446-nucleotide ribosomal RNA is filed under the name uncultured bacterium. RNAcentral describes it as "bacterial SSU rRNA". It matches the Rfam family "Bacterial small subunit ribosomal RNA", at positions 330 to 793 of the family's 1533-position model. The record is from RNAcentral.
GCCAGACUCCUACGGGAGGCAGCAGUGGGGAAUAUUGCACAAUGGGGGGAACCCUGAUGCAGCGACGCCGCGUGAGUGAAGAAGUAUUUCGGUAUGUAAAGCUCUAUCAGCAGGGAAGAAAAUGACGGUACCUGACUAAGAAGCCCCGGCUAACUACGUGCCAGCAGCCGCGGUAAUACGUAGGGGGCGAGCGUUAUCCGGAUUUACUGGGUGUAAAGGGAGCGUAGACGGUUAAUCAAGUCUGAAGUGAAGGCCCGCGGCUCAACUGCGGAACGGCUUUGGAAACUGAGUAACUGGAGUGCUGGAGGGGCAGGCGGAAUUCCUGGUGUAGCGGUGAAAUGCGUAGAUAUCAGGAGGAACACCGGUGGCGAAGGCGGCCUGCUGGACAGUAACUGACGUUGAGGCUCGAAAGCGUGGGGAGCAAACAGGAUUAGAUACCCGAGUAA